Long non-coding RNA from Bos taurus (domestic cattle), 556 nucleotides. The record is from Ensembl. NCBI's taxonomy places the organism in Eukaryota, Metazoa, Chordata, Mammalia, Artiodactyla, Bovidae.
UGGACGUGAGUGCUUGGGGAGCAAGGGCAGCAGGGCUGCUGGAGUAUAAGACGGGCUUCAGGACCCAUUGGCACAAGUGCGCAGCGUGCUCCUAACGCCAGGCCGGUAGGGAGCCUCCACACCACGAGAAAGAAGAUGGACUCUCACCCAAACUUUGGUCCAGCUGUCAAGACUGAUAACAACACACACACACUAAGAAAGUAUGGAAAUAUUUAUCCCUUACACAAGGCGGCUUUUUGAGGUUGAAGCUCCAAUACUUUUGCCACCUGAUGCAAAGAACUGACUCAUUGGAAAAGACCCUGAUGCUGGGAAAGACUGAAGGCAGGAGGAGAAGCGGAUAACAGAGGACAAGAUGGUUGGAUGGCACCACUGACUCAAUGGACAUGAGUUUGAGCAAGCUCUAGGAGAUGGUGAUGGACAGGGAAGCCUGGCAUGCUGCAGUCCAUGGGGUUGCAAAGAGUUGGACACAACUGAGCAACUGAACUGAACUUAAUGUAUCUCAUUGUCCAUUUAAUGCUUUGUGGUUUGAAAUGUAUUUUAUCUGAUAUAAAGGUUG